Molecule: ribosomal RNA, 301 nt
Filed under: uncultured bacterium
Lineage: Bacteria
Description: partial 16S ribosomal RNA
Rfam family: Bacterial small subunit ribosomal RNA
Source: RNAcentral
CAGUAGCCGCGGGAAUACGAAGGGGGCUAGCGUUGUUCGGAUUUACUGGGCGUAAAGGGUGCGUAGGCGGAUUGUUAAGUCAGGGGUGAAAUGCCGAGGCUCAACCUCGGAACUGCCUUUGAUACUGGCGAUCUUGAGUCCGGGAGAGGUGGGUGGAACUGCGAGUGUAGAGGUGAAAUUCGUAGAUAUUCGCAAGAACACCGGUGGCGAAGGCGGCCCACUGGCCCGGAAUUGACGCUGAGGCACGACAGCGUGGGGAGCAAACAGGAUUAGAUACCCCGGUAGUCCCUGUCUCUUAUAC